Molecule: transfer RNA, 71 nt
Filed under: Candidatus Thorarchaeota archaeon
Lineage: Archaea; Promethearchaeati; Candidatus Thorarchaeota
Description: tRNA-Gly
Source: RNAcentral
GCAUUGGUGUAGACUGCAAGAACAAGCCCUCCAAGCUUGGGGCCCGGGUUCGAUUCCCGGCAGGCGCACCA